Molecule: ribosomal RNA, 468 nt
Filed under: uncultured bacterium
Lineage: Bacteria
Description: partial 16S ribosomal RNA
Rfam family: Bacterial small subunit ribosomal RNA
Source: RNAcentral
GACGAACGCUGGCGGCGUGCUUAACACAUGCAAGUCGAACGGAAAGGCCCCGCUUUUGUGGGGUGCUCGAGUGGCGAACGGGUGAGUAACACGUGAGUAACCUGCCCUUGACUUUGGGAUAACUUCAGGAAACUGGGGCUAAUACCGGAUAGGAGCUCCUGCUGCAUGGUGGGGGUUGGAAAGUUUCGGCGGUUGGGGAUGGACUCGCGGCUUAUCAGCUUGUUGGGGGGGUAGUGGCUUACCAAGGCUUUGACGGGUAGCCGGCCUGAGAGGGUGACCGGCCACAUUGGGACUGAGAUACGGCCCAGACUCCUACGGGAGGCAGCAGUGGGGAAUAUUGCACAAUGGGCGGAAGCCUGAUGCAGCAACGCCGCGUGCGGGAUGACGGCCUUCGGGUUGUAAACCGCUUUCGCCUGUGACGAAGCGUGAGUGACGGUAAUGGGUAAAGAAGCACCGGCUAACUACGUG